AUUGAACGCUGGCGGCAUGCCUUACACAUGCAAGUCGAACGGUAACAGGUCUUCGGAUGCUGACGAGUGGCGAACGGGUGAGUAAUACAUCGGAACGUGCCUAGUAGUGGGGGAUAACUACUCGAAAGAGCGGCUAAUACCGCAUGAGAUCUACGGAUGAAAGCAGGGGAUCGCAAGACCUUGUGCUACUACAGCGGCCGAUGGCAGAUUAGGUAGUUGGUGGGAUAAAAGCUUACCAAGCCGACGAUCUGUAGCUGGGCUGAGAGGACGAUCAGCCACACUGGGACUGAGAAACGGCCCAGACUCCUACGGGAGGCAGCAGUGGGGAAUUUUGGACAAUGGGCGCAAGCCUGAUCCAGCAAUGCCGCGUGCAGGAUGAAGGCCUUCGGGUUGUAAACUGCUUUUGUACGGAACGAAAAGCCCCGGGUUAAUACCCUGGGGUCAUGACGGUACCGUAAGAAUAAGCACCGGCUAACUACGUGCCAGCCGCCGCCGUAA
RNAcentral lists this ribosomal RNA (498 nucleotides) under uncultured bacterium. Its description in RNAcentral is "partial 16S ribosomal RNA". It matches the Rfam family "Bacterial small subunit ribosomal RNA", at positions 30 to 523 of the family's 1533-position model. The record is from RNAcentral.